UGCCACCAGCAUCCUUUCCGUUUCCUCUCUCUCCAUAAAUAAAGGACCAAUCUUCUUCCCUGGCAAUAGUAUGGAGUGUGGUGGAUAGGAAGCAAUCUCUUUGUGUGGUCCGCCCCUCUGCCAGGUCACCGGUCCGCGGCACCUACCCUCCUCUUCCGGCUUUGCCGGCGGUGCGCGCUACCUCCCCGAUCUCAGUGUGUGGUCAGCCCCUCUGGCACGGUCGCCGGUCCACGGCAUCUCCGCCUUUGCCGGUGCUGCCCGCCGCCUCCCCUCGAUCUCUGCGUGUGGUCAGCCCCUUUGGCACGGUCGUCGGUCCACGACACCUCCUCUUCUCCUCCGCCUCUGCCGCUGCUGCCCGCUGCCUUCCCUCCUCCUCCGCCCCUGCCACUGUCCUUGGUGGCAUGUGUCGAACCCUGCUUCGUUCGCCGCUCCCGCGGAUGGAAGGCAUGAGUUCGUGGCCUAUGUUUAUCUGUUGGAUCCUGGAAGGAUGCUUUGCCCGGCGACUGAACCAUAGGCGGACGCCGCGCCGGCCAAGUGCCCAGCUGGUGGACAACUUUCUUUUCGGCCUCGAAGGUAUACCUGGGCUGAUGGUAACGCAGGGUAGGGCCUCCAUUAACAACCACAGCUUGCAACAACGUUGGAUCGACCUCGAGCGUGUAUAAACAUAGAUAUAGCUUGAACUAGAUAAUCUAAUUUGUGGUCUGCGUCCUACUCCAACAUCACCCACACCAAAGGUCGAUGCGCUGCCUCCUCUGUCUCCUUAGAUGUGAGUAUUUUUUGAGUUAAUUUCGGUUGGAAACUUUGAUUUGUGUGUUAUAGGAAGCCUUUUUUGGAUGAAAGCUAUAUGUUUUGUCUCCAUCCACCUCCCACUGGCAGCAAGUCUGGUCAAUCUCUCACAUCCACAGUCCUCUAUAACUUAAGCACUGUCUGCAAGAAUGUGUCGAGAUAUGAUGGAUCGUUCUCAUAUCUCCCAUUUGGAUGAUUUUGAUUGCAAGCGCUAGAUGGCGAAAAUUUCCUAUCUUUCAAAUCUUGGAGUACUGGUUGUCCAUCUUCUGUAAUGCUUUGCCUUUCAUCGACGCUGAAUAUUUGUGCAUGUCUCGCUGUGGCUCUGUGCUUGCUUACUAAUCAGCCCAUCAGCCUUUUCAAACUUGGAUAGUUGUCAUUUUGAGGAGCCUGCUUUCAUGUAUCUUGCCAAAGUGACACCCGUGAAACUUAUUUCUCUAUUUAUUUUAGUUAACUAUUUGGUGUAUUCUAGACAAUUCAUGUUUAAGGGAAAGAAUAGCUUUAUAUAUUGAUGCUGCUUCUGAAAUAUUUUAUUUGUUAGAAGGUACUUCUCUGUGCAUUUACAGGUAAACAAAAAAAUUGGAGUAGGGGCGUACAACUGAUUUGACAAAAUCAAUAUCAGUUAUGCAUGCAUCAUGGAUGUGAUUCUAAAGUUACAGAAGUAUAUAGGAAGCCAGAUCAAUUUCUGAAUUACUAUAACCUUUUCUACUUAGAUAGACCUAGCAAUUCGGAUCCGAUGUACCAAGUUGUGGAAUUAUUCUCUACGAUGAAGAGUUUGUUUAAGGAUAUUUAUUAUGGUUUAUAGUUUCUAUCUCUCAGUAAGGUCCCUGUAUGGUUUUACCAGUUUUACAACUAGCCAGAUACGUGCUAGGAGCUAUAUGGCGUACUCGCAACUAUAGCAUGGCAAAUCAUAUAUGAGUUACUAUACUUCCUGUUGUAGUAUAAAACCGUUUAAUGCCCAUGUAGCGUGGGCAACUCUGCCUACUAAUCAACACUAAAAAGAUAUGUCCAGUGGAAGGUUUCUUUGCAUUAGCUUAUUCUGGGCUUUUUUUGGAAUCUUGAACUGAUAGCAAAAUACUUUUGAUAACGAGACAUGAUUUUCAGCACCGGGUGCCCCUACACCCUCUAUGAACAGUAAAUUCAAAACAAGUUCAAAAAAAAAACUGAAACUUUGGGACAUCGAACAUCAUGAAACUUUUGAUGAUCUUGCAAAGUUUUAGCUAAAAGUUACAUUCGAAGAGCACUCAAAUAGUAAAACAAAAUCAUUGUUCAAAGUUUAUGUACAUUUUUGAGCAGUGAUUUUUUUUGUGAGGGCUCCACGAAGGUUAUUUGCUGCUGAAACUUUGAAGGAACAUCAAACCUUUAAUAAUCUUUGAUCCCUGAAAGUUUCAGAUUUUUUAAUUUGUUUUCUAUUUUUAUGAAUUUACUGUUCAUGAGGGUGUAGGGGCACCCGGGAGUUGUUAGACAUUUCUCUGUACUCUUGAUUUCUGAUAUUGAAUAGUUAUAAAUGAAUACAAUCACAUUUCAUUGCUAUGCUUAUUGAUACAAGCUUUGGAAGUUUGGACCACAAUUGUCCUGGCAAUGCCAUUGGGGCACCAGCUCCCUAUAUUUUGUUGUAUGUACAAUUUUUCUAAAAUUUCGUACUCUACUAGAGUUUUCUUAUCAUGAACUAAUUGGGAUUUUCUUUAUAGGUAGUGCUUUUAUAUAGCUCUGACCUCGAUUAUUUUUGUUGUUGUAGAUUAUCAUCCUUCUCCUACGAUGGCACGCAUUAUACUAUCUGAGCAUUGCUACCUUCGGUUGCAUCGGUCAGGUUUUUUGGCUCAGUGUUAGAGCCACGUAAAAAAGGACUUACAGGUUCAAUUGAAACCCAACUCUGUCGACAUCGUAGAUACAAAUUGCAUUGGGAUUUAGAUCUACCCGUUUAGAGUUUAACUAUUUGUCAUGCCUCUCAUUGUUCCUUCCUUUCUAUGACUGUCCCCUUGAAGUAUAAACUCAUGAGCUGACAUCAUGUUCAUCAAUCAAGGAUGUACGAGUGUAAUUUGUUCCAUUAUCGAGAUGCAAAACUGACGAUGAAUGAAUAUACUUAAUACACUUGGAAAUAUAAAAUAUGAACACGUAUUCCAUUGGUGGUCAACCCCUUUUUGUUUGGUACCCACAAUUCUGUCAUUUUCAUUUAUAUAGAGUCUCUCUGUGGAUGCUAGUUGAGUUCAUCUAUUAAAGAGAUAUUUAGGAUUUAAGCC
Molecule: long non-coding RNA, 3023 nt
Filed under: Triticum aestivum (bread wheat)
Lineage: Eukaryota; Viridiplantae; Streptophyta; Magnoliopsida; Poales; Poaceae
Description: long non-coding RNA (TAES_LNC024035)
Source: RNAcentral